AGUGGCGGACGGGUGAGUAACGCGUAGGUAUCUGCCUAGAAGUGGGGGACAACCCGGAGAAAUCCGGGCUAAUACCGCAUAUACCCUACGGGGUAAAGUGGGGGACCUUUCGGGGCCUCACGCUUCUAGAUGAACCUGCGUCGGAUUAGCUUGUUGGUGAGGUAACGGCUCACCAAGGCGACGAUCCGUAGCUGGUCUGAGAGGAUGACCAGCCACACUGGGACUGAGACACGGCCCAGACUCCUACGGGAGGCAGCAGUGGGGAAUAUUGGACAAUGGGGGCAACCCUGAUCCAGCCAUGCCGCGUGUGUGAAGAAGGCCUUCGGGUUGUAAAGCACUUUCAGUGGGGAAGAAAUUCUCAAGACUAAUACUCUUGGGGCUUGACGGUACCUACAUAAGAAGCACCGGCUAAAUUCCGUGCCAACAGCCGCGGUAAUACGGAAGGUGCAAGCGUUAAUCGGAAUCACUGGGCGUAAAGCGCGCGUAGGCUGUUUGGUCAGUCAGGUGUGAAAGCCCUGGGCUCACCUGGGAACUGCAUUUGAUACUGCAAGACUAGAGUAUGGUAGACGGGGAGUGGGAAUUCCACAUGUAACGUGAAAUGCAUACAGAUGUGGAGGAACAACAAUGGAGGAAGCCAAAUCCUGGACCAUUACUGACGCUGGAGGUGC
RNAcentral lists this ribosomal RNA (668 nucleotides) under uncultured bacterium. RNAcentral's name for it is "bacterial SSU rRNA". It matches the Rfam family "Bacterial small subunit ribosomal RNA", at positions 94 to 754 of the family's 1533-position model. The record is from RNAcentral.